RNAcentral lists this transfer RNA (67 nucleotides) under Glischrochilus hortensis. Its description in RNAcentral is "tRNA-Ser". Lineage: Eukaryota; Metazoa; Arthropoda; Insecta; Coleoptera; Nitidulidae. The record is from RNAcentral.
GAAAUAUGAUAAUCAAAGCUAAGCUUCUAACUUAAACUUUAAGCAGUGUAAAUCUGUUUAUAUUUCU